This 468-nucleotide ribosomal RNA is filed under the name uncultured bacterium. Its description in RNAcentral is "partial 16S ribosomal RNA". It matches the Rfam family "Bacterial small subunit ribosomal RNA", at positions 28 to 507 of the family's 1533-position model. The record is from RNAcentral.
GACGAACGCUGGCGGCGUGCUUAACACAUGCAAGUCGAACGGAAAGGCCCUGCGUUUGUGGGCUGCUCGAGUGGCGAACGGGUGAGUAACACGUGAGUAACCUGCCCUUGAUUUUGGGAUGACUUCAGGAAACUGGGGUUACGACCGUACAGCAGCCCCUGCUGCAUGGUGGGGGUUGGAAAUUCUCGGCGGGUGGGGAUGGACUCGCGGCUUAUCAGCUUGUUGGUUGGGUAGUGGCUUACCAAGGCUUUGACGGAUCGCCGGCCUGAGAGGGUGACCGGCGACAUUGGGACUGAGAUAGGGCCCAGACUCCUACAGGAGGCAGCAGUGGGGAGUAUUGCACAAUGGGCGCAAGCCUGAUGCAGCGGCGCCGCGUGCGGAAUGACGGCCUUCGGGUUGAAAACCGCUUUCGCCUGUGACGAAGCGGGAGUGACGGUAAUGGGUGAAGAAGCACCGGCUAACUACGUG